This 563-nucleotide ribosomal RNA is filed under the name Pichia manshurica. Its description in RNAcentral is "eukaryotic LSU rRNA". It matches the Rfam family "Eukaryotic large subunit ribosomal RNA", at positions 45 to 633 of the family's 3401-position model. The record is from RNAcentral. Lineage: Eukaryota; Fungi; Ascomycota; Pichiomycetes; Pichiales; Pichiaceae.
CAUAAGCGGAGGAAAAGAAACCAACAGGGAUUGCCCCAGUAGCGGCGAGUGAAGCGGCAAGAGCUCAGAUUUGAAAUCGUGUUUCGGCACGAGUUGUAGAGUGUAGGCGGGAGUCUCUGUGGAGCGCGGUGUCCAAGUCCCUUGGAACAGGGUGCCUGAGAGGGUGAGAGCCCCGUAGGGUGCUGCGCGAAGCUUUUGAGCCCCUGCUGACGAGUCGAGUUGUUUGGGAAUGCAGCUCCAAGCGGGUGGUAAAUUCCAUCUAAGGCUAAAUAUUGGCGAGAGACCGAUAGCGAACAAGUACUGUGAAGGAAAGAUGAAAAGCACUUUGAAAAGAGAGUGAAACAGCACGUGAANUUNUUGAAAGGGAAGGGUAUUGGGCUCGACAUGGGGGGUGCGCACCGCUGUCUCUUGUAGACGGCGCUUUGGGCGCCCUCUGGGCCAGCAUCGGUUCCUGCUGCGGGAGAAGGGGCUCCGGAAAGUGGCUCUUACGGAGUGUUAUAGCCGGGGCCAGAUGCCGCGUGUGGGGACCGAGGACUGCGGCUUCUGUGUCGGAUGCUGGCAUC